GACGAACGCUGGCGGCGUGCUUAACACAUGCAAGUCGAACGGUGAAGCGCUUUCCUUUUUGGUUGGUUUGGAUGAGUGGCGAACGGGCGAGUAACACGUGAGUACCCUGCUCCCUUCUUCUGGAUAACCGCAUGAAAGUGUGGCUAAUAUGGGAUAUUCUGCGCCUGCUGCUUGGUGGGUGUGGGAAAGAUUGUGUCUUUGGGUGUUCUCGGUGGGGGAUGGGCUCGCGGCCUAUCAGCUUGUUGGUGGGGGGAUGGCCGACCAAGGCGGUGACGGGUAGCCGGCCUGAGGGGGUCGACGGGAGAACUGGGACUGAGACACUGCCCAGGCGCCUACGGGAGGCAGCAGUGGGGAAUAUUGCGCGAGGGGCGCAAGCCUGAUGCAGCGACGCCGCGUGAGGGAUGGAGGCCUUCGGGUUGUGAACCUCUUUCGCCAGUGAAGCAGGCCUGCUCAUUGUGGGUGGGUUGACGGUAGCUGGAGAAGAAGCACCGGCUAACUACGUG
This 503-nucleotide ribosomal RNA is filed under the name uncultured bacterium. RNAcentral describes it as "partial 16S ribosomal RNA". It matches the Rfam family "Bacterial small subunit ribosomal RNA", at positions 28 to 507 of the family's 1533-position model. The record is from RNAcentral.